Molecule: ribosomal RNA, 200 nt
Filed under: uncultured eukaryote
Lineage: Eukaryota
Description: partial 18S ribosomal RNA
Rfam family: Eukaryotic small subunit ribosomal RNA
Source: RNAcentral
GCUCCAAUAGCGUAUACUAAAGUUGUUGCAGUUAAAAAGCUCGUAGUUGAAUUUCUGGAUCCGGACUGUGGUCGGUCAUUAAUUUGAUUUGUACCUUUUGUUUGGAUCCAUCCUCGGAGAAACAAUGUCUGUCAUUUAGUUGUCGGAUAUGGGAUCUUCGUCAUUUACUGUGAGCAAAAUAGAGUGUUCAAAGCAGGCUU